This 253-nucleotide ribosomal RNA is filed under the name uncultured bacterium. RNAcentral's name for it is "partial 16S ribosomal RNA". It matches the Rfam family "Bacterial small subunit ribosomal RNA", at positions 524 to 776 of the family's 1533-position model. The record is from RNAcentral.
GACAGAGGUCCCGAGCGUUAGGCGGAAUCACUGGGCUUAAAGCGUGUGUAGGCGGACUUGUAAGUACCUUGUGAAAUCCCACGGCUUAACCGUGGAACUGCUCGGUAUACUGCGAGUCUUGAGCCACUUAGGGGCUACCGGAACAAAUGGUGGAGCGGUGAAAUGCGUAGAUAUCAUUUGGAACGCCAAUGGUGAAAACAGGUAGCUGGGAGUGUGCUGACGCUGAGACACGAAAGCCAGGGGAGCAAACGGG